GGAGCUGGAUUCGGCACGACCGUGGAGCUGCAGUUCUGCGCCUCCUGCUCGUACAAGGGAAAUGCAAUGACCAUGAAGCGCAUGCUGGAAACAUCAUUUCCUGGCAUUAAUGUUUUCUUGCAUAAUUAUCCGCCAGCUUUCCCCAAACGGGUACUGAGCAAAAUCAUGCCAGUUAUUCAAGUUGGAGCCAUUGCAACAAUAAUGGCUGGUGACCAGAUUUUCCCCAGACUUGGCAUUACUCCACCUCCAUUGUUUUACUCGUUGCGUGCCAAUAGAUUUGGAACCAUGGCGACAAUUUGGCUCAUUGGCAAUUUUGCCCAAUCUUUCCUACAAAGUUCUGGUGCCUUUGAAGUUUACUGCAAUGGAGAUUUGGUUUUCUCGAAGUUAGCCGAACAGAGGUUCCCUAGCGAGUUUGAGCUGCGCGAUCUCAUCGGCAGCAGGCUGCCACCUUCUCCAUUCGGGAAAAACAUGGGAAACGUCUUGUCUUAG
Molecule: ribosomal RNA, 489 nt
Filed under: Triticum aestivum (bread wheat)
Lineage: Eukaryota; Viridiplantae; Streptophyta; Magnoliopsida; Poales; Poaceae
Description: partial small subunit ribosomal RNA
Source: RNAcentral